RNAcentral lists this ribosomal RNA (253 nucleotides) under uncultured bacterium. RNAcentral's name for it is "partial 16S ribosomal RNA". It matches the Rfam family "Bacterial small subunit ribosomal RNA", at positions 524 to 776 of the family's 1533-position model. The record is from RNAcentral.
UACGUAGGGCGCAAGCGUUGUCCGGAAUUAUUGGGCGUAAAGAGCUCGUAGGCGGUCUGUCACGUCGGCUGUGAAAGCCCGGGGCUCAACCCCGGGUCUGCAGUCGAUACGGGCAGGCUAGAGUCCGGUAGGGGCCCACGGAAUUCCUGGUGUAGCGGUGAAAUGCGCAGAUAUCAGGAGGAACACCGGUGGCGAAGGCGGUGGGCUGGGCCGGCACUGACGCUGAGGAGCGAAAGCGUGGGGAGCGAACAGG